This 274-nucleotide ribosomal RNA is filed under the name uncultured bacterium. RNAcentral's name for it is "partial 16S ribosomal RNA". It matches the Rfam family "Bacterial small subunit ribosomal RNA", at positions 523 to 796 of the family's 1533-position model. The record is from RNAcentral.
AUACGGAGGGGGCUAGCGUUGUUCGGAUUUACUGGGCGUAAAGCGCACGUAGGCGGUUUAUCAAGUUAGGCGUGAAAGCCCUGGGCUCAACCCAGGAACUGCGCUUAUUACUGAUAGACUAGAGAGCGGGAGAGGGUAGCGGAAUUCCCAGUGUAGAGGUGAAAUUCGUAGAUAUUGGGAAGAACACCAGUUGCGAAGGCGGCUACCUGGCCCGGUACUGACGCUGAGGUGCGAAAGCGUGGGGAGCAAACAGGAUUAGAAACCCCGGUAGUCC